UAGUUGGUGAGGUAACGGCUCACCAAGCCGACGAUGGAUAGGGGAACUGAGAGGUUGGUCCCCCACACUGGUACUGAGACACGGACCAGACUCCUACGGGAGGCAGCAGUGAGGAAUAUUGGUCAAUGGGCGGGAGCCUGAACCAGCCAAGUCGCGUGAAGGAAGAAGGAUCUAUGGUUCGUAAACUUCUUUUGCAGGGGAAUAAAGUGCAGGACGUGUCCUGUUUUGUAUGUACCCUGAGAAUAAGGAUCGGCUAACUCCGUGCCAGCAGCCGCGGUAAUACGGAGGAUCCGAGCGUUAUCCGGAUUUAUUGGGUUUAAAGGGUGCGUAGGUGGUUUGAUAAGUCAGCGGUGAAAGUUUGCAGCUUAACUGUAAAAAUGCCGUUGAAACUGUCGGACUUGAGUGUAAAUGAGGUAGGCGGAAUGCGUGGUGUAGCGGUGAAAUGCAUAGAUAUCACGCAGAACUCCGAUUGCGAAGGCAGCUUACUAAGCUACAACUGACACUGAAGCACGAAAGCGUGGGGAUCAAACAGGAUUAGAUACCCUGGUAGUCCACGCAGUAAACGAUGAUUACUAGCUGUUUGCGAUACACAGUAAGCGGCACAGCGAAAGCGUUAAGUAAUCCACCUGGGGAGUACGCCGGCAACGGUGAAACUCAAAGGAAUUGACGGGGGCCCGCACAAGCGGAGGAACAUGUGGUUUAAUUCGAUGAUACGCGAGAACCUUACCCGGGUUUGAACGUAUGAAAACAGGGUGGAAACAUCCUUUCAGCAAUGACUGCUACGAGUGCUGCAUGUGCCGUCAG
This 804-nucleotide ribosomal RNA is filed under the name uncultured Bacteroides sp. RNAcentral's name for it is "bacterial SSU rRNA". It matches the Rfam family "Bacterial small subunit ribosomal RNA", at positions 246 to 1058 of the family's 1533-position model. The record is from RNAcentral. Lineage: Bacteria; Pseudomonadati; Bacteroidota; Bacteroidia; Bacteroidales; Bacteroidaceae.